Molecule: non-coding RNA, 520 nt
Filed under: uncultured Glomus
Lineage: Eukaryota; Fungi; Glomeromycota; Glomeromycetes; Glomerales; Glomeraceae
Also listed under: 1 other name
Description: SSU rRNA
Rfam family: Eukaryotic small subunit ribosomal RNA
Source: RNAcentral
AGCAGCCGCGGUAAUUCCAGCUCCAAUAGCGUAUAUUAAAGUUGCUGCAGUUAAAAAGCUCGUAGUUGAAUUUCGGGAUCAAUAUGUUGGUCGUGCCUCGGUACGUACUAGCUUAUUGGUUUCUUCCUUCUGACGAACCAUAAUGUCAUUUAUUUGGUGUUAUGGGGAAUCAGGACUGUUACUUUGAAAAAAUUAGAGUGUUUAAAGCAGGCUCACGCUUGAAUACAUUAGCAUGGAAUAAUGAAAUAGGACGUUUGAUUCUAUUUUGUUGGUUUCUAGGAUCGACGUAAUGAUUAAUAGGGAUAGUUGGGGGCAUUAGUAUUCAAUUGUCAGAGGUGAAAUUCUUGGAUUUAUUGAAGACUAACUACUGCGAAAGCAUUUGCCAAGGAUGUUUUCAUUAAUCAAGAACGAAAGUUAGGGGAUCGAAGACGAUCAGAUACCGUCGUAGUCUUAACCAUAAACUAUGCCGACUAGGGAUCGGAUGAUGUUAAUUUUUUAAUGACUCAUUCGGCGCCUUACG